AUUGAACGCUGGCGGCAUGCUUUACACAUGCAAGUCGAACGGCAGCGCGGGGCAACCUGGCGGCGAGUGGCGAACGGGUGAGUAAUAUAUCGGAACGUACCCAAGAGUGGGGGAUAACGUAGCGAAAGUUACGCUAAUACCGCAUACGAUCUAAGGAUGAAAGUGGGGGAUCGCAAGACCUCAUGCUCCUGGAGCGGCCGAUAUCUGAUUAGCUAGUUGGUGAGGUAAAGGCUCACCAAGGCGACGAUCAGUAGCUGGUCUGAGAGGACGACCAGCCACACUGGAACUGAGACACGGUCCAGACUCCUACGGGAGGCAGCAGUGGGGAAUUUUGGACAAUGGGCGCAAGCCUGAUCCAGCAAUGCCGCGUGAGUGAAGAAGGCCUUCGGGUUGUAAAGCUUUUUUGUCAGGGAAGAAACGGUAGAGGCUAAUAUCCUUUGCUAAUGACGGUACCUGAAGAAUAAGCACCGGCUAACUACGUG
RNAcentral lists this ribosomal RNA (482 nucleotides) under uncultured bacterium. RNAcentral's name for it is "partial 16S ribosomal RNA". It matches the Rfam family "Bacterial small subunit ribosomal RNA", at positions 30 to 507 of the family's 1533-position model. The record is from RNAcentral.